AAAAAAAUAUUUUGGAGGGUAGUAUAUAUAACCCUUGCACAUUGUUUAAAAAAUACUCAAAUAUAUUAGUCAGCAGGUGAAAACAUAUAUAAUGGGUAAAUUCUACCUACACUACCUAUUUGUAAACAGUAACAACUGCAACUUAAAAAAAUAGUGUAACACAUACUCAAAAAUUACUGGACCCGCGUGCCUUUGUCCUCGAGGGAGUUGAGCUGCUGCGCUGCUGUUUUGAAGGUAAGAUGUUGCUGUGUUUGAGCGCUAAAUUUAAUGUAAGUGUAAACCCUUUGAACAAGAUUUGUAGUCUGUGUUGUGUACAAGUGAACAUUGCUGAGGCUUUGUAGGGCAAUUCAACUUGGGCACUGUUUGGUGUAUUUUGAUUAGACCAGUGAUUCUGACUCCCGGACCUGGAUUAGCUGCCAUUCCCCUGCAGAUUUCAGUGUUUCCCCUAAUUAGUAUGAGGUGAACACUGAUAGGAACACAAGCAGUGUAGUGGCAGGCUGUGACUGUCUGAACGCCACUGGACUGGACUCAGGAGGCACGUUUGUGAUUAUUUCCCUCGCGCGGGCUUCACAGUACUUACAGCCGAAUAUGGUGCCCACUAGCACAUUUAGCUGGUCUGGCCAAACUCUCACAUCGUUUCAACCUGAAGUGUUAACUGCAUAUCCUGGACUUCUCUGUGUGAAGGUCUUCAAGUCUUGGACUCUCUUUCCUGUGGGCCUUAUACCAGUUUUCACAAAAGAUAUAUGAACACAAAAUAUUUGUACUUUUGUGAAGAGGGUGUCUGACUAAACUCAGCACUUAUUGAAGACCCGAAACUGACUAAAAUGGGAGUGUUGCCUUGUUGCAGAUGAUUUGGUUGUGCAAAAUAUGUAAUUUCUCAUCCUUAAAACGAUUGGCUCUACUGAAACACUACAGAUUACAACAUGGGCAUUUUGGUCGAAACCAGUCCAUACCCUGUCUCCAUUCGGAUUGCCCUUGCUCAUUUAGGACAUGGGGUGCAUUACGUACACAUUUGUCCAGGGAUCACCCCCAGACUACUAAACCAGGCCAGCUCCUUUCUUUCACAUGCCUAGUGUGUAAUUCAUGUUAUUUCCACACAGAAAGACAAUAUUUUGAGCACCUUGGUGGACACCUAAAAAAGUUUGAAACGGUGCCUUGUGUUUUUAAAGAAUGUGAUUACAAAACAAAUAUAUACACAACAUUCCACAGUCACAAGAGUAGAAAACACAAUCCCCAUUCAGUGGAGGAUUUUAAGACUGCUGUUUUCCGUGAGAACCAUGGCCAAGUGCUUGAAGAAAGUGAAGUUUCUGAAUGUGAAAACUACUGUGACUCUGUUCUUGAGGCAGACGAGGACUUGAAAAAAACAAUUAUUAAGAGACUGGGGUUAGUUCUUCUUAAACUGGAAUGCAUUUUCAAUGUAUCUAAUACAUGUAUUGAUGAACUAGUUGAGGAACUUUGAGGAACACCCUCAUAAUAAGUGAUUACAUUCUUUAAUUAUAGAACUUCAAAGUGUUUGGUGGAGCUGACAAAUAGACAAUGGGUGUAGUAAAAGAAGUGGCUGGUCUCUGUAAAAAAAUUGCAAAUAGGCAUGAGUUGAAAAAAGUGAUAGUUUAUGUUCCUUUAAUUUCAGCAAUCUGAAAUACCCCAGACCUAAGUAUUCUACUGUUUUGUAAUGCAGUUGUUCAAGAAAUGUGUUGAAGCUGUUAAUGGUGUUAAUGAAGUGGCUGGUCUCUGUAUAAGUUGAAAAAUAGACUCAUGAGUUGAUAGUGUUAUAACAUUUUGUGAUGCAGUUCAAACGUGUUGAAGCAUAAGACUGUUUGAGAGGAUGUACAUGUUCAAGAAACUUUGGUUUUAACUGUGUGCAUAGUGAAAAAAAUACUUUUGUAUCUUUGUGUUUUUGAAGGCACACUUAAUAAAAAAAAGUUGGCCUCAAAA
Long non-coding RNA from Pygocentrus nattereri (red-bellied piranha), 1935 nucleotides. RefSeq lists it as uncharacterized. The transcript has 3 exons. The record is from RefSeq and is a predicted model, not a curated record. NCBI's taxonomy places the organism in Eukaryota, Metazoa, Chordata, Actinopteri, Characiformes, Serrasalmidae.